RNAcentral lists this ribosomal RNA (492 nucleotides) under uncultured bacterium. RNAcentral's name for it is "partial 16S ribosomal RNA". It matches the Rfam family "Bacterial small subunit ribosomal RNA", at positions 30 to 507 of the family's 1533-position model. The record is from RNAcentral.
AUUGAACGCUGGCGGCAUGCUUUACACAUGCAAGUCGAACGGUAACAGGCUUUCGGGUGCUGACGAGUGGCGCACGGGUGAGUAAUGCAUCGGAACGUACCCAGAGGUGGGGGAUAACGCAGCGAAAGCUGUGCUAAUACCGCAUGUGAUCUGAGGAUGAAAGCGGGGGACCGAGCAGCAAUGUUUGGCCUCGCGCCUUUGGAGCGGCCGAUGUCGGAUUAGCUAGUUGGUGGGGUAAAGGCCUACCAAGGCGACGAUCCGUAGCUGGUCUGAGAGGACGACCAGCCACACUGGGACUGAGACACGGCCCAGACUCCUACGGGAGGCAGCAGUGGGGAAUUUUGGACAAUGGGCGCAAGCCUGAUCCAGCAAUGCCGCGUGCGGGAAGAAGGCCUUCGGGUUGUAAACCGCUUUUGGCAGGAACGAAACGGUGUCCGCUAAUACCGGGCGCUAAUGACGGUACCUGCAGAAUAAGCACCGGCUAACUACGUG